GGGGAGUGGAAUUCCAGGUGUAGCGGUGAAAUGCGUAGAUAUCUGGAGGAACAUCAGUGGCGAAGGCGACUCCCUGGCCAAAGACUGACGCUCAUGUGCGAAAGUGUGGGUAGCGAACAGGAUUAGAUACCCUGGUAGUCCACACCGUAAACGCUGUCUACUAGCUGUUUGUGGCUUUAAGCCGUGAGUAGCGAAGCUAACGCGAUAAGUA
Molecule: ribosomal RNA, 211 nt
Filed under: Alteromonas sp.
Lineage: Bacteria; Pseudomonadati; Pseudomonadota; Gammaproteobacteria; Alteromonadales; Alteromonadaceae
Description: partial 16S ribosomal RNA
Rfam family: Bacterial small subunit ribosomal RNA
Source: RNAcentral